Molecule: long non-coding RNA, 2796 nt
Organism: Misgurnus anguillicaudatus (oriental weatherfish)
Lineage: Eukaryota; Metazoa; Chordata; Actinopteri; Cypriniformes; Cobitidae
Source: RefSeq, a predicted model, not a curated record
AGAACAUGAACCUACCAAAUAAAUCUUUAGAUUCUUGAGAUCCAAAAAAUCAAGAAAUUGUAGACAGUACAGUGGAAGAAUAAUAUUUUAAAAAAUCGGAGACAGUGGACAAUAUUAGAAUACAGGCUUCAGUUAAGGUUUACUUUCAUGUUUGGUACGUAUCUGGAGAAACAUUCCAUUUGAUCUAAUUUUAUUAUUACAUUUGCCACUGUUUUGUUACCUGAUUUUUUUUUCUUUGGCAGAAGAAAUUGUAGAUAGUAUGGAACUUUAAAUGUAUUAGCUCAAAAAUUUCAAAAUUACCCACUGUAGAUUAAACAGGUUAAAUAACCAAACUCUUUUAACAUAUAUGCAGUUAAAUACAGGAGAACGUUAAGGCCUUUGCAGAAAUAUCUGACAGCAUACAAAAUUUACAAGGUACAGUUUAACACCAAAUGUAAGACUUCUUUAAGUGAACGAUUCGUGUUUUUCAUCGAUUUUAAGCGGGAUAAAAAUGCAUGAAAAAGUUUAAUUUAUCCACUUUAUCUAUUUUCAUUUUUAUUGUUACCCCGCCUCAUGAAUAUUAAUGGUUAGCUAAUCCCCACUUAGAAUUACAUUUCAGAAUAGUGUGCGUAAAGUUUAAUAGGCAGACGGAGAGGAAACGUGAAAGGGAGUGAAGAAAAACUCGGCCCUUCCAAAAAAAAAGAAACGAAAUCAGCACAUAGAGAGGGUCUGAGCCUCGGAGAAUCAAAGAAACCACCUUUCAAUCCUCACUUUCCCAAAGAAAUGCCAAUAAAAUACGGUAACAGAAUAUCACGGAGGGCGCGGUGUUUCCUUAACUGUUUCUGAAAGGCUCAGAAGAUCUUAAUAAGGCUUCGCUCGGUCCUUUUGUUGAUCUCACAAAAUCAACUCAUUCUAAUUGAGGCCUGAGCUGAAAGCGACCUAAUGUUCAAAGCAAGUGACCGCCGGAGAAACGAAAUUACAUUUUUACUAUAUGGGGCAUCCAAUCAAAGGGCGGCUUUGCACGUUCCUCUAUAGAUCAACAAAGUCAUCUACAAAAGUACUCUUGGGAGUAACAGAGAUGCUGCUGGUUAACGUCAAUAGACGAAGGAAAACUAAAGAGAAAGUUAUUGGAUGCUGCAUGGAGGCUCUUAGAAGUAUGGCGACAGGGAAUGCGCAUAUCAAUGUUUAUACUGCUUGUUUAAAACACAACACUGACGUGAUUCCCUCAAAAAGGCAGGAUUCACCUGCCCCUAAACCACUUUAACGGACAAAAAUACUGAGAGUCGUUAACAAAAUGUGAUCCUUAAAUACACAACAAAAGACAUGUAUUAUUUCUGCAUUUCGUCCGUUUUUUUAGUUUGUUCUCUCGGCCCUGAUGUUGCUAAGACCCCGUGAUAAACUCAGAACAGGUAUCAAGUUAUCAGGUUGCUAGAAGCUUUUGUAAUAAGAGUAUUUUGUCUAAUCCCAAAUUGCAGUCGAAUUUUCUAAAUGCUGAGCUCGUAAAUCUCGGGAUUAGAGGAGGCGAGAAGAGGAGGGGGAAAAGUUUAGUUUCUUUAGCCGGCAGGAUGGGAGCGGGUCGGCGAUGUUGUCGGUCCUUAUUAAAACGAUGAUGCAUAAAAUACGAAUUUGAAGCUCGUGCAUAAGUCUCCGUACCGUUUUCCCCGGUGUACUUUAGGACGUGGGAAGGAUAUCCAGCGGUCGAGGGGCUUCGUGGAGUUCAACUGCUCAACACCUGAAGUCAGGCCGUAGACUUCAAAGCAGCUGGAUCCUCAGCACGCGCUCUGGGACUCAGGCAUCUCUGCUAUCGCUUUAAUACGCUGCUUCGUCGUGUUUAUAACUUUUUCGUGCUUGUGAAAACUUUUAAAGAAACUUUGUAUUUUUGAAAAUGAAUUUUCCACUAAACAAAUAGCCUACUAUUGGGUUCAGCCCGAAUACAAGUGUUGGCGAAAGGGCAACAAUCAGGGUUCUCUCCAGGUGCUCAUCUUCUUCUUCAGCUCUGUCGGCACACACAGGACAUACAGGAUCAAAGGUCAUGGACACAGAAGAAUGCCUCCACCACCUAUGACCGCUUUGAAUAUUAACAUCCCAUACACACAAAACACCUACAGUAAAUGCAAAGUGUGAUGUCUGACUGCAAGCUUUGGCCUCUAAAACCUUCUCUAAACUGCAUCAGAAUUCUCUGGAGCACUAAGCGCUCUCACAUCCCAAAAUGACUUGCAGCAGGUGGACUUACUCUUUCUCCUGGGCAUCCAAGUCUCUGACCAGAGCAUCACGUUUGUUGACCAGAAUGACCAACUCAUCCAGCAGGAGCUGCUCUCGGCGCUUUUGCGCCUCUGUUUUCUGCCAGUCUGGAAGAUGAAGAAAACGAGAAAGAACAUUUUAGAGACCGGAUAAGAAAGUUGACAGCUAAUCACCUUCCAUGGCACCUUCAACAAAAUCCAGUAAAGACGACUUACAGAAACAAGCAUAAUUUAAAUGGUUUCACGUGUGAAAGACAUCACUCUCAAACUAUCAAGACUAUGGUCUGUACUAUUUAGCUUAAUAUUGUUGAGUUAAUGUGAAGCUCUAAAAGGGCACCCACAGGUUCCCUGUAUAAUGGACGGCAGCCACACAGUGGAAUUCGGUCAGAACGGAUCUGAUAACACAAGUGAAUACAAGGACUGUGUUGAGUACACCACCUGCUUUUAAGCACCUUAAAACGUCAAGUCCCAAAGAGGCGUUAAUGCCUUUACACAGCUCAAAAUCUGCUCUAUAAAUAAAUUCUAUUGAUUUUUCACUCAACUUGGAAUUAAGUAUUAAACAUGAUCUUGUACAAUC